RNAcentral lists this ribosomal RNA (498 nucleotides) under uncultured soil bacterium. RNAcentral's name for it is "bacterial SSU rRNA". It matches the Rfam family "Bacterial small subunit ribosomal RNA", at positions 26 to 518 of the family's 1533-position model. The record is from RNAcentral.
AGGACGAACGCUGGCGGCGCGCUUAACACAUGCAAGUCGAACGGGGUCCUUCGGGGCUCAGUGGCGAACGGGUGCGUAACACGUGAGUGACCUGCCCUAGUACGGGGGAUAACCCGGGGAAACCCGGGCUAAUACCGCAUGCGCUCUUUGGGCUUCCGGGCCUGGGGAGGAAAGAUGCUUUCGGGCAUCGUGCAAGGAGGGGCUCGCGGCGUAUCAGGUAGUUGGUAGGGUAACGGCCUACCAAGCCGAUGACGCGUAGGGGGUCUGAGAGGAUGGCCCCCCACGAUUGGGACUGAGAUACGGCCCAGACUCCACGGGAGCAGCAGUGGGGAAUCUUGCGCAAUGGCCGAAAGGCUGACGCAGCGACGCCGCGUGCGGGAUGACGCUUUUCGGAGUGUAAACCGCUGGUCGGGUGGGACGAAAGGUCCGGGGAGGAAAUGCUCUCGGGAUGGACGUACCACCAAAGGAAGCACCGGCUAACUCGUGCCAGCAGCCGAC